AAAUAGAACUUUGCAGAGAGAGUUAACAGGGCGUGAAACCGUUGAUUGGCAAACGAAUCGGAGCCACGAAGUCGUUUCGUUGUUUAGUCUGGUCUGGUUCAGCAAGUGCCGAGAGGCACUUGUGUACUCCAAGGCCGGGCCCAACUUUGUAAGCGUACACUGCAACCAGUUAGACGAUUAGCCAUGGGCACAGCAGUUAGAGUAGUAGUAGCGCGGUCGGGCCUCGUGCCCUUCUCGUGUUGCUGGCUUUGGGCAAGAGAACUAUGGCUAAAUACUGACUGGCAAAAUUAAAAUCGCUUCAUCGAAGCGUUUGAGACAAGGCAACUAACCGCAUGGGCGCCUACACAGUCGACUGUUAGGUCCAAGCUUGGCGUCUUUGAAUUCAGACUUGCGCGCUACCAGUGGGGCAACUCCUGGUGCGUGUACAGCUUCUGUCUAAUCGGGCGUCGACUUGAUUUGGCAUUGUUCGGGUGUGAAGCGAUUGGGUGUUCAUGUGAGAUAGCUCGCAAUUGAAUUGGCAGUGAGUAGGUCGGCUUUCCGAACGACCCGUCUUGAAACACGGACCAAGGAGUCUAGUUAGGCAUCGAGUCGAUCGGUCUUGAAUAGGCCAGAAUGAGCAUGUUAUCUCGACUGAAGGCGUAGAGAAACCGUGUGAUCGUGUGGCAACAACAGCCGCUGCGCGCAACAUGUGCCUGUUCGUAUAGCAAUGUGCAAUAUUGCUGGCGGAGCAAAGAGAUGCCUGAUUGGGACCCGAAAGAUGGUGAGCUUGGGCAAAUUGAAGCCAGAGGAAACUCUGGUGGAGGAUUGUAGCGAUUCUGACGUGCAAAUCGAUCGUCAGACCUGAGUAUAGGGGCGAAAGACUAAUCGAACCAUC
This 874-nucleotide ribosomal RNA is filed under the name Abacarus sp. GZ31. RNAcentral's name for it is "partial large subunit ribosomal RNA". It matches the Rfam family "Eukaryotic large subunit ribosomal RNA", at positions 366 to 944 of the family's 3401-position model. Lineage: Eukaryota; Metazoa; Arthropoda; Arachnida; Trombidiformes; Eriophyidae. The record is from RNAcentral.